GUGAGUCAUCGAAUCUUUGAACGCACAUUGCGCCCCUUGGUAUUCCGAGGGGCAUGCCUGUUCGAGCGUCAUUACAACCCUCAAGCACUGCUUGGUAUUGGGCCCCGCUGCUUAACGCCGCGGGCCUUAAAAUCAGUGGCGGCGCCGCUGGGCUCUGAGCGUAGUAAAUUUCCUCGCUACGGAGACCUGGCGGUGGUAGCCAUCAACCCCCAACUUUCUAAGUUUGACCUCGGAUCAGGUAGGGAUACCCGCUGAACUUAAGCAUAUCAAUAAGCGGAGGA
Molecule: unclassified non-coding RNA, 281 nt
Filed under: Helotiales sp.
Lineage: Eukaryota; Fungi; Ascomycota; Leotiomycetes; Helotiales
Description: partial contains 5.8S ribosomal RNA, internal transcribed spacer 2, and large subunit ribosomal RNA
Rfam family: 5.8S ribosomal RNA (bases 1-71)
Source: RNAcentral